Long non-coding RNA from Passer domesticus (house sparrow), 1217 nucleotides. RefSeq lists it as uncharacterized. Lineage: Eukaryota; Metazoa; Chordata; Aves; Passeriformes; Passeridae. The record is from RefSeq and is a predicted model, not a curated record. The transcript has 3 exons.
CCUCGUGCUAGGACGUGUGCAGUGUGGGUGGCUCUGACACAAGCCAUGCUCUGCCUCUGCAAUGCAGAUGUGACACUGGCAGCAACAACCAAGAGAGAGCAGACAGAACAGCUCAAAUGAAACAGAGGAGAGGGCAGAGAUGGUGUUAACAAUGUCUUUAAUGGACUUGGUGACUGUGCACUGCAGUGCAACAGAGCUGCAGGGGCUGAGCACAGCCAGUCCACUGAAAGCAGUGAGGCCUGGAACCCAGUGCACUGGCAAGUCAAAUAAAGCAUUUGUAGAUAAAAAUCAGGAUGUUCCUGACAGUUGUGAGAAUUAACCCAGUCCAUGAGCUUGUUACAGAGAAACAACCAACCAACCAGAAAACAAAAUCAAAACAACCUACUUGCAAAGUUUAGGAGAAAUCUUCAUAAUCUAGAAGCUGCACAUCAGCUAAUUCAGUCAGAACAAAUUUCUGUCACCUAAAUAUCUCUUGCCAGGAGAAUCCUGCUACUUUCAGGGAUGAAGAUUUCCUUCCCAGCAUGAUUCACAGGCCCAGCAUCACACCAGUACUACUGUGACCAAUGUUGCCUCUGCUCUUCAGCCUUUACUGCUGAGGUACUUAUUGCCAGAGGCUUUUAAAGAAUUGUGAAUUCUAAAGAAUUGUGACUUGCAUCACUCUAAUACAACAAAUGUCUAUUACUAUCUCUGCUUUAUAGAUGAAAAAUAAAAAACUGGAGGGAAAUAGGAAAUUUACUCUACUGGAUAGCCUGUGUGGAAGCCAUAAGUCUGUCUCGUAGUCUCCUUACUCUGUGUCUUAACUGUAGGUCCAUCAUUACCAUUCAUUUCAAGGAUGCAUUUAUUACUGCUGCUGCUAAUACCACUGUUUCUGCAAAUGCCAUGUCAAACUGAUAGAGGAAAACAUUCAAUUUCCAGUUUUUCUCCUUCUGUCCUCUGUAUUGCAGUGCAAAGGACUUUUUGGAUGAAAAAGCUAUCUGAGAACAGAUGUAACAAACUCCUCAGGCCUUUCACAAGGACAAACCUGCAUUUCUAUAACAUGGAUUCCAUAUGAUAAUUCAUCAUAUAUUUUCACUGAGAAACCUCCGUGCAGCAGACUUUUGCAUGAACGGAGCAUGAAAUGCAUUAACACAGAGAAUUCACAGAAAAUUGACAUUUUUAUACUCAUUUCCUCACAUUUGUUGUUUGUUUUGUGCAUAGGUAAUGCCACGUUAAGAACU